Molecule: long non-coding RNA, 685 nt
Filed under: Vulpes vulpes (red fox)
Lineage: Eukaryota; Metazoa; Chordata; Mammalia; Carnivora; Canidae
Description: lncRNA (ENSVVUG00000011674.1)
Source: RNAcentral
GAGAGGAAGUGAGGUGAAUGAUGCAGGCAUUGUGACAUAGCGUUGGCUACUAUUGACCUUCUGCCCAUCUGCCAGAAGGAGGGUCAUCUGCUUCUAGACCGGGGUUGACCACAGGUCUAACUAAAACCACCGAGAGUGAAGCCACAGGUCAGGGGAACUGCUUCAAUCCAGAAUACUGAGGCUGCGGGUUGCCUUGCCAGAAUAAAGUUCAUACUUCUAGCAUGAAAAUCAAGGUUCUUCCUUAUCUGGCUUCAACCACCUGUCCUGUUGGAGUCUAACUUACAGAGACUCAAGGCUGGGAAUUGUACCGCCAUCCUGCCACCAUCAUGACUGCGUCUGGGACGGCCUGAGAAGUGUCCAGUCUACCUGCAGAAAAACCAAAUCCCCUUGAUCUUCGUUUCAACUAUCGGGAUUAGAGAAGAACACUGUACACAGCAACGAUUCACUAGGAGCCUAUUGACCUGAAUCUGUGGUCAUGAGACACAGUUCAGUCUUCAUCUGUCCCGAAUUAUCAAAAUAACUGUGUGCCUAGCAUGGUGCCUUAUGUAAGAUAGAAGAUAACGGAAAGAGUGAAUGGGUGUUAAUCAAUAUUAAAGCAAGAUCACUAUCUUCAUCUUUGAAACUCAAGAAUCUCACACACAAAAUGGUAAUAAUAAAAUCUAUAGUCUUUUUUUUUUUUGAGGCA